This 18-nucleotide small nuclear RNA is filed under the name Arabidopsis thaliana (thale cress). RNAcentral describes it as "snRNA_12235". The record is from RNAcentral. Lineage: Eukaryota; Viridiplantae; Streptophyta; Magnoliopsida; Brassicales; Brassicaceae.
UUGGCAGAAUCAGCGGGG